GCUGUGUGAGAGGGGAUAUGAUUAAGUGGUGUCUGUGACUGAUGAUGUGGAGUUAGCCUCUCCUUUCUCCAAUGCACAGCCCUCUGGGAGAAGGGUUUAGUCCAAACAAAGGCAGUAGCCAUGGAAAUCUUUUCCCAUAUCAUGGAAAGGAGACCCUUAGCAGCUGUGUAUGACACCUAGGGGUUUGAAUUAGUGACGCAGCAGCAGGAGGGAUGAGUCACCUGACUGAUUUUUGAGUGUUACAGACAAAAGGUUUGUAUGCUUGUAGUCACAGAAAUAGGAGGAGAUUAAAGCACAAGGAGCUGGGCAGUGGAGCUGUAAAACAUUUUGUUGUUGGUUUACUCAAUGACUGUGUGACUCGUCAGGCCUCAACUUGUCCUUCCCAUUCAUAAAAGUUGUUGCGUACAGGACGGAUUACUCAGUGUCAAAAUCUCUCCCAAUUCAGACAUUUCUAUCACAUAUUAAUUGCAUCAGCUACAAUGACAAACUCACUAUGGUGUCUCUUGUUAAUUACUUCAACGACUGCAGAGGAAGAUUACCUUCUACCAUCUUAUUUUUAUCCUAUCCUAAUAAUGGUCAUGCAUUACAGCUGACAGGGGCCGAAGGCAAAUGAGUAAAACAUGAUCAAUUAGUGACUUUCAUUCUAAAUCAUCAUAAUGAUCAUGGUUGAAAUGCAUAUAGAUAUCCACAUUUGGUGUUGGAAAUAUUUUAAUAAAUGAGGUUUUUAAAAAUUACAAUAUCGAAAUAAUUCACAAAAAACACUAUAGAGACGAUAAGGCCAAGAGCUAAAUGCUAAUGCAGCAUGCUAACAGGGGCGGCAGUUAGCAGUUUUCAAAGAGACUGCAGGCCCCUCCUCAUUCGGUGAGAGCAUUUUAUUAAGAUAUUUUCAAUUAAUUAAACAGCAUUUAUUAGAAUAUUAUAUAUUAUUCAUAUACAGAGGCUGGGUAGACUGCAGCAUCGGGCGAGAAUGAUUGGGCUUGAGUCGUGUGUCGACUCUGUGACGUAUCACAUAGACAGCGAAUACCUAAAUUCUUACAUUUAAUAUAUUCUCCACAUACCUAUGAGCAAUUUAGAAUCAACAAUUGAACAAAUCCCCAGAGGACGUCUUUCGACUGUGGGAGGAAGCCAAAGUACGCGGAGAGAACCCACGCCGACAGGGUGAACAUGCAGAAUCUACACAGAAAGACCGCUGGGUGGAGUCGAAUCCAGGACCUUCUAGCUGCGAGGAAGCCUGUGUCAUUGAGAAAUGACGUAGAAAUAAAAACUUGAGACUGAGGAAUGCAUAAAACUGUGUAAUGAUGCUAACAGUUACAAUGAAUAAAUAACACACAGCUGAUGUAUUAUGUAUGAAGCAAUUUCUGCUGCUUCGGUGGAAACCAAAGUCUUGAAAUGGGUCGUAGAAUGAAUGGUCGGAGCUUUCAUUUUGUCUGUGGUCGAAUACGAAACUAGGGAUGGUCAUUAGGGGAAGCGCCAUUGAUCUUCUGUAGCUGUUAGAUUCCCCAAAACUUGCUAAUAGUCCAUGUCAAAUCAUGAACGAAUAACUUAAGUACCUGCCAUAAAAGCCUGCUGUUAAAUGUGAAUGAACCAGAAGAUGAGUAUUGAAUUUAUAUAUUAUCAAAAACAAUAAUAGUCUGUAAUAUUUAACCCAGUGGUUCUGCUUUACCACUUUGUCAUGUUCACCUGCGCAUCCUGUUGAGACAUCUUAAAUGUAUCAGCUGCAAAGGCAGUGGUAGGUCACAGUCGGAUAACGAGUGUCAUUGAGUGAUGCUCUGGCUCUCUGUGGGAUGUCGUACUUCAAUGCAGGGUAAACAUAGAAGGUUUGUUCUUUUUUAUACUGAAAUUAUUAAUAUAUCUUUACAACAUGUCUGGGAGAAACCAGCUUCCGGCUAGCAUCAAUAAAAAGGCUCGAGGAUGUUGCUUUUCUCUAAUGAUAAAAAUAAAUGUAUGACAAAGUAAUGUGAAGAAUGCUGCUGUGUUAUGCACAAACUGUAGAAGCCAACAGCCAUUAUAAGCUGGCUUUUUAGUUUGGUCUAUUGCAUUCAUGCGUAAAUAUAAAUCUUACUGAACAAAGUGCAAACGUUUGCUGUCACCGAGCUUAAUGUGCAAUUAUCUAAGAUCCCAAAUCCUUCUAUUUAAUACACUGUCCAAAUAGUGGCUAAUUUCCAUCAUGUAACUGAAAGUGAUGGCAUCUAGUAAAAUAAUAGAAAGAACAAUUCAGAUUUGGCCCAGAUUCAUGUUCUCAGUUGUAUUUACGUCAUGUGUGUCACUUCUGUGGAUCCACACUGUGAAUGUAUAAACUACAAUAUGAGUGCAGUUAUAAUAAUCUGCAUGUAGAAACUAUAGUUGUUUUUUUCAUAGAAUGAUAAUAAUGAAUAUGGUUGCGCUGGAGUGUAAACUGAGCUUCUGUGCAGCUCAUGGAUAUAUCAUGAACUGGACACUGUGUUCCCGGACCGUUCCCAUUCAUUCCAAUUAAAUGUGCUCAUUCACUGCAAAUAAUGAAAGCGCUUUGCUUCGGUAUUCUCUUCCCACAGGAAAUGCACACCAGGGCCUUGGCUUUACCUGGUAAAAUCAGAUACAAUACAUCAGCAUAUAUUGGAGCCAGUGGCUGCCUUUUGAAUUAUUUAGAGAGUAUUUUUAUAUUAUAUUUUGAAUAUGUAUAAUAUUGAUUAUGCUGGACACACCACACAAUCCAGGGCUGUUUGUAAAGGCUGUAGGUGGCUACUUAAAGAAACCAUCGUUGAUCACUAAAUAUGUCUUCAACAGCUCAUUCUGGUGACCACGGGGUCGUGUUUCAGGUCAGCGUGCAUACACUCUAAAAAAUGUGACCAAUGGUAACGUAAAAAAUUUUGGCAAC
Molecule: long non-coding RNA, 2854 nt
Organism: Gasterosteus aculeatus aculeatus (three-spined stickleback)
Lineage: Eukaryota; Metazoa; Chordata; Actinopteri; Perciformes; Gasterosteidae
Source: Ensembl